Long non-coding RNA from Cyprinus carpio carpio, 4076 nucleotides. NCBI's taxonomy places the organism in Eukaryota, Metazoa, Chordata, Actinopteri, Cypriniformes, Cyprinidae. The record is from Ensembl.
AUACCUUGACCGGAGCAUAACUGGUUAACUUCACACAAGAGACCUACUGUUGGACAAUUGGUUUUGGCUUUAAAGGAGAAAGUCAUCGCUCUGUAAUUGGCCCUUGGACUCCCCUGGCAUCUCGUGUAAAGCAUGAAGUUUUCAGCUAUGAAGAUUUCCAGAGACUCAAGAAUUAAAAACAAGCCGUGAUGGAUGAGAACCAAGCCCUUAGGGAGGAGAACCAAGCUCUGAGGGAAAGCACUGCACGAGCAGCUUCGGAUGACAGCGGCUCACUUCAAGAGCAGGUGAAGCAAGUUGGGACAAUGUUGAAGACGUUUGCUCGCACUGGGCAAUCAGGUGCAGAUCAGACCUUAAUGCUGCGACGUCUUGGAGAGUUUGGCGAUGUUGUGCGAAGCAUGGACAACAAAAUGGACACUAUGCUGCAACAUUUCAGUGCCAAUGUGUCUGUUGGAGAGUUAUCCCUGCCAGGGGAUCUGUUACUCCCCCUAGACACCCAGGAAGAUUUGGCGUUGCUUGACAACAGUUUGAGGCAGGAUAAAGAGCUCCAGGAACGAUUUCUUCGGUUUUUUUGGCAAUCAAAUGUGGGAGGGACCUAUAAGACAACCGUCUGGCGGAUGCUUCAAAGUACCUUCUCUAAUCACCUUUCCAUCAAUACAACCUGGACUGGAGUUGGGGAUAAAGCAUGUUUUAGAGACAUGUUCCUGAAGACCAUUGUUCAAAGUAAGUUGGAUGUAAUGUUUAGUAGAUGUGUAUGGCAUUAUGCCAUUCAAAUGGAAUGACAGAUCUGUAUUUUUCUACAGGAGCCAUCCGGAAGAACCCGGCAACACAGGAUGCCACUGAUGAAGCCGUCCCAGGUUAACGUUACGCGUUACCUGAAAGGAGCAUCUGACCGUGAAGGCGGAAAAAGGUGCCGCACAGCUGAGAGGGACCCACAGCAGACCCCUUAAACCUAGGCUGACUACUGACACCCCAGCAUCACUGACAACUGGAACCCUUUCUUUAUCCUGCAGUCAGUAACAUCAAGACCCCUAAAGAAGCCAGAAGUGUCAGACUGCACUCCCCAAUCCACACUGUUCACUGUGGAUAUUAUCAUAGUGCUUAACUCUUAUUAUAUUGUUAAAUAUAGCUUGUAAAUCCUUGUGCCACAGGUCAGCAUUGCAGUUAUAUCUGUUCUACUACUUUUUUUACCUCAGUAUUUUUUAUAUAUAUGUGAAGAUGUUUAUCACAGAUACAAGAGACAUCUUGUACCCCAGGUCAGCAAUGCCAAUAUAAUGGUCUAUUCUACUCCAGAGCUUUAUUCUAAAUUAUUACCACUUAUCUUAUUGUUAGAAAUGGCUUGUAAAUGUGAUGUUAUACCUGAAUUUUUUUUGGUGUCCUGCACAUUCUUUGGUACCAGAUAUACUCAUUACUUAUGUUUACUGGUAAUUCUUUUCAUCCCAGAGCUGACCUCUUUAUAUUAUUAACAAUUAUUGUAAGUGUUAUAAUUUGCUUGUAAGCUAAGGCUGUUUUUUUUUUUAACAAUUUAAUUGGAAACCUGCAUGUUCUUUUGUGUGUGUGUGUGUGUAUAUUUUUUUUCUCUUUUUUUCUGUUAUUUAUAUUUCAGGGAUCUGACAUCAUGUUUCAAUGACAGUUACUGUACUUUGAAAUGUGGAAUUAAAACGUCAAAUGGAAAUUUGUCUGGUUUGAUCAAUCAUUAUUCUUGAUAAACUGCAUUAUAUAUAUAUUUAUAUAUAUUUAUAUAUAUAUAUAUAUAUAUAUAUAUAUAUAUAUAUAUAUAUAUAAGCGGCGACCGAUCGCUCGAAAAUAGCGUUUGCCUCCGACGGGCCGCGGAAGGGUCGCCUUUGAUAUAACGGCGGUUGGCCCGCGGGCCGGCCGCGGAACGAAGGCGGUAGGAAGGCGGCUGCCGCUUCUAAAAAGCGGCUGCCGCCGGCGGUGCACCGUCAAACGUGUUUGCGAUUACGCCAUUCUGACGCUUCUACUGCCGCCGGAGCGCCGCCGGUGGUCCGCCGACUCAUUGCUAUCUGGGUGAUUGCCUAAACCGGUGUUGUGUAAUAUUCGGUUCCUGUGAAAAACUGUUCCCGUGGGUGGGGUUUACAUGACUAUUAAUUAGUUAUCUUGUUGUGGGCGUGUCCUUGAAACAACGCAAACGAAUGGAACUGAAAAUAUCAGUGCACGCUCCUCAAAUCGCUGCUUGUUUAAUGGAUUAUUUUGAACAGGUAACGAAGUGUCAAUGUUAAGCAUUGAAGCACUGCAACAGUGUCAAAACAAUGCAGUUUGUGUAAUAUGAUAAAUCGUCUGUAAGCUGUUUUGCUUGAAUGAUUACAGGCACACAGAAAAACAAACAAUAACAAUCAAGCUAAUAACCUAUCUUACCUAAUAUAGUUUUUACUAUUUGGUGUAUUUCGCUUUUUAUAUAUUUCAUUUGUGGGCUUUAUUUUUAAUAGAUUGGUUUGAUUAGCCUAGUCAUUGGAGACUAGUACAACUAUGCCUGAAACAAACAACUACAAAUGUAUCUGUGUCUUAAUAAAAUUGGUGUGAGCAUCCUGUGUCAUGCUUUCUUUCUUUUUAAAUAACCAGUUUUUACCAGCCUCAUCAGUGUAUUUAUUUAAUUAUUCUGAAUAUCAGGUAAAAUAAUAAAGUCACACUAAAAACAUUUUCUUCUGUCACAUAUUUUCUCCUGUUGAUUUUAAAGUAUCUUCUACAGAAUGAGUCAUGCAACAUUGAAACAACAUGAGAGUGAGUUCAUUUUUAUAUUUAAAUGAACUGUCUUUUUCUUUAUUGUAUUUAGUUAACAGUCAAAUACAGAGCUUAACAGUUUAGAGAAUCUGAAAAAAAACCUACUAAUAAUAAAUACUAUAAUAAUGAAUAUCAUAUCUAAGCAUACAUUGUGUCUGUUCUUUGACCAUAUGUUGCACUGAAAAACAACCUCAUGUCAUGUUUAAGAAUAGUGAUCCAUUGUGUAAAUAAUGUUUAACAUUUGAACAUCUUUUUAAUUUUACUAUUACUAUUACAUACAAUGAAACCCAAAUGUUUUUUUGUCAGCCAAACUCUGUUCUCCUGUCGCCUACAGAGAUUAAUAUCCUCUGAGAUUAAAGUUAAUAUUUCAAUAAUUUAACAACUCUCUUUAAUGUUGACAGUUUUCUGAUGUGUAUUAAUAGUAACAUGACAUGCAGGUUAACAAAUAACAUGUCAUCUUUAAAGUAAGUUUUUUUUAUUUUUAUUGUUUAAAAUUAUACUCAAAAAAUGAUAUUGUAGAUCACAUAAAUAUUACAUUCAUUAAAUGUUACUAUGAAAAGAACAUAAGUAAUUGCUUUAUAUAAUCAAUUACAAAUUAGACUGAUUACAAUAUUUACAUUUUCACUUCAAGAAAAAAAAAAUGUUCUCAGUAGCCUAUGUAAGUAGCUUAUUUAGGUAACAAAAACACUGGCUACAUACAAACUAAACAAGUUUUUAUAAAUGACACAGAAUAGUUCGCUUAUAGGCUAGCUAUAUUUGUUUCAAGCAUUGUUGUGAACACACUGCAGUAAUAGUCACCAGUAGCCUAACUUGGCUAAUCAAACUAUUCAAACAGCAAUUAAUGCCCCACAAAUGAAAUGUAUAAAAUGCUAAACACAUAAAAAAAUAACAUUAAGAAACUAUAUCACCCAAGGUUAGCAUAGGUUAUUAGCUUGAUUGUUUUUCUGUGUGCCUGUAAUCAUUCAAGCAAAACAGCUUACAGACGAUUUAUCAUAUUACACAAACUGCAUUGUUUUGACACUGUUGCAGUGCUUCAAUGCUUAACAUUGACACUUCGUUACCUGUUCAAAAUAAUCCAUUAAACAAGCAGCGAUUUGGAGCGUGCACUGAUAUUUUCAGUUCCAUUCGCUUGCGCGUUGUUUCAAGGACACGCCCACAACAAGAGAACUAAUGAAUAUUCAUGUAACCCCACCCACGGGAACAGUUUUUCACAGGAACCGAAUAUUACACAACACCGGUUCCCUCGAAGCUGCUGCAUGCUACUCCUCCGCACGGACAGAUCAUCACUCACAGAAGUGCAGAGCCUCAGAAGUCGGUCAUUCACUGCACUGGACACCUGG